RNAcentral lists this long non-coding RNA (7907 nucleotides) under Manihot esculenta (cassava). Its description in RNAcentral is "long non-coding RNA (MESC_LNC004530)". Lineage: Eukaryota; Viridiplantae; Streptophyta; Magnoliopsida; Malpighiales; Euphorbiaceae. The record is from RNAcentral.
AACUUGAAACUUGUUUAAAAUAUAUAAUGAGCUCAAGAUCGGCUCUUACCUCUUGAAGAUCGAGAGGAAAAACGAUCCUAGCUCGGAAAUGGGAGAGAUCGAGUUCUUUGAACCUCCAAGCUCCAAAACUUGCUAUUUGCUUAAAAAUCUUCAAAACAAAGGUGAAAACUCAUAAAAAUCAUGGAAGAUUUGAAGGAAGAACUCAAGAUCGGCAUGAGGGCGGCGGAGACUCACCUUGGCCGAAAAUGGGGAGAAAAAGCUCACCCAUUCGGACAUGGGGACCCCUUUAUAGGUGGCUGGCCAGGCCACUUUCGGGGGCCUAACGUGCCUCCGCAUGCAUGCCAUGUUCGGCGGCCGAACAUAAGGUUCGGCGGCCGAACCUGGACUUCCCUCACUUAUGCCUUCGGGGGCCUAAAGCACUCCCGAAGCGCAUGCAUGUUCGGCGGCCAAACCCGAGUUUUCCUCCAAUGCUAAUUUCAUGCAAAAACUCAUUUUCUUUCUUGCUUAAAAACAUAAAUUACAUUAAAACAUUUUAUAAAAACAUGGUUUUACCCUUCUAGAAGUCUCCGACUCCCGAGAUUCCACCGGACGGUAGGAAUUCCGAUACCGGAGUCUAGCCGGGUAUUACAUUCUCCCCCCCUUAAGAACAUUCGUCCCCAAAUGUUCCUCAACUAGCACAUGCAAGGCAUAAAACACAUCAUACACAUAAAACACAUGAAACAUAUAAGAAACUAACCUUAGAAAAGAUAAGGGUAUUGCUGGAGCAUGGACUCCCGUGUCUCCCAGGUGCAUUCUUCCAUUUUGUGGUGGUUCCAAAGGACUUUCACCAUCGGGAUUUCCUUGUUUCUCAGCUUCUUGAUCUGGGUGUCAAGAAUCUGCACUGGUUGUUCAACAUAGGUGAGAUCUUCUUGGAUCUCCACAUCAGGCUCACUAAGAACCUUGCCCGGAUCUGACACGAACUUCCUCAACAUGGAAACAUGGAAAACCGGAUAGAUUCUUUCCAUUGAAGCAGGUAAAUCUAGCUUGUACGACACAUUCCCAAUCUUCUGCAAGAUUUCAAAGGGUUCGAUGUAUCGUGGGGCUAGCUUACCUUUCUUCCCAAAACGAACCACUCCUUUCAUAGGAGACACCUUGAGCAAUACCAGAUCUCCCUCCUGAAAUUCUACCUGUCUCCUGCGGAUGUCUGCAUAGCUCUUCUGUCUGCUCACAGCAGUUCUGAUCCUCUCUCUGAUAAUGGGUACCACCCUGCUGGUGAUCUCAACAAGCUCAGGGCCUGCCAAGGCCUUUUUCCCCACUUCUUCCCAGCAAACAGGUGACCUGCACUUCCUCCCAUACAAAGCUUCAUAUGGGGCCAUCCCUAUGCUAGCAUGAUAGCUGUUAUUGUAGGCAAACUCCACCAAGGGUAGAUGCUGCCUCCAAGAACCGCCAAAAUCUAGCACACACAUUCUGAGCAUUUCUUCUAUAGUUUGGAUGGUCCUCUCUGACUGUCCGUCCGUCUGUGGAUGGAAGGCAGUACUGAAAUCUAACCUGAUACCCAUAGCAUUCUGCAGACUCCGCCAAAAUCUAGAGGUGAACUGGGGCCCUCUAUCAGACAUUAUCGAAACAGGAACCUCAUGCAGCCUUACCACUUCAUCCACAUACACCUGCGCUAACUUAUCCACUGAGUAGUUGCUCCUGACAGGAAUGAAGUGAGCAGAUUUGGUCAGUCUGUCCACAAUCACCCAUAUGGAGUCUAACCUGUUGGAUGCUGCCGGUAACCCCACUACAAAGUCCAUAGCUAUAUUCUCCCAUUUCCACUCUGGAAUAGGUAGUGGGUUAAGCAUUCCAGCCGGCUUCUGAUGUUCUAGCUUCACCCUUUGACACACUUCGCAGGCUGACACAAACUAUGCCACUUCUCUUUUCAUAGCGGGCCACCAAUAAACCUUCUUCAGAUCUUGAUACAUCUUGGUGGCUCCAGGGUGAACACUGUAUCUGGCAUUAUGAGCCUCUCUCAUAAUGUCUCCCUUUAGCCCUAUGUCAUCUGGUACACAUAGUCUGCUCCCAAAGUGGAGGAUCCCCUUGCUGUCGAAUCUGAACUCACUAUCCUUGCCUGACUGAAUAGUCCUGGCAAUCUUCACUAACUCUGGGUCCUCAUGAUGUUUCUGAGCCACCUGCUCCAGAAACACGGGUGUCACUCUCAUCUGGGCUAUCAAAGCACCUGUACCAGACAACUCCAACUGUAGACCUUCAUUCAUGAGCUCGAAGAACUCCCUCACUAUUGGCCUCCUCUCUGCUGAAAUAUGGGACAAACUGCCAAGUGAUUUCUGGCUUAAGGCGUCUGCCAUAACAUUCGCCUUACCCGGAUGGUACUUGAUCUUGCAAUCAUAGUCACUGAGCAGUUCUACCCAUCUUCUCUACCUCAAAUUCAAAUCUCUCUGACUCAGGAUGUACUGCAGGCUUUUAUGAUCUAUGAAGAUCUCACAUUUUACCCCAUAAAGGUAAUGCCUCCACAUCUUGAGUGCAAAGAUUACCGCUGCCAUCUCUAGGUCAUGUGUAGGGUAAUUCAACUCGUGCUUCUUCAGUUGCCUAGAAGCAUAAGCAAUCACCCUUUCAUUCUGCAUCAGCACACAACCCAGUCCUACACGGGACACAUCACAAUAGACUGAGAAGUCUUCAUUACUAGAUGGCAGAGCUAACACUGUUGCUGAAGUCAACCUCUUCUUGAGCUCCUCAAAGCUUUCUUCACACUGGUCGGUCCACACAAACCUUUGGUUCUUCUUAGUCAGUCUGGUCAUGGGAGCUGCAAUUUUAGAGAAGUCCUGGACGAACCUCCUGUAGUAACCUGCCAAACCCAAUAAGCUCUUGAUCUCUGUCACUGUAGUGGGUCUAGGCCAGUUAGCUACAGCUUCCACUUUCUUGGGGUCUACCUCGAUUCCAUUUUCUGACACAACGUGCCCCAAGAAUGAAAUGCUCCUCAGCCAGAAAUCACACUUGGAGAACUUGGCAUACAAGCCAUGUUCCCUCAAGGUCUGCAGAACUAACCUCAGAUGAUGGGCAUGCUCCUCUGCAUUCCUGGAGUACACUAAGAUAUCAUCUAUGAAGACAAUAACAAAGUGAUCCAGGUACUGACUGAAAACCCUGUUCAUGAGAUCCAUGAAUGCUGCAGGGGCGUUGGUCAACCCAAACGGCAUCACAAGGAACUCAAAAUGCCCAUAUCUGGUCCUGAAGGCUGUCUUCAAUACAUCCUCUUCCCUUAUCCUCAGCUGAUGGUAUCCUGAUUUCAGAUCUAUCUUGGAGAAACAACCUGCUCCUGCUAGUUGCUCGAAUAGAUCGUCGAUCCUUGGCAACGGGUACUUAUUCUUGGUAGUGACCUUGUUCAACUGCCUGUAGUCGAUACAAAGUCUGAGAGAUCCAUCCUUCUUUUUCACAAAUAGCACUAGAGCACCCCAAGGUGAGGUACUCGGUCGGAUGAAUCCUCUAUCUACCAACUCUUGCAACUGCUCCUUAAGCUCCUUCAAUUCUGCUGGUGCCAUCCUGUAGGGAGGGAUAGAGAUCGGUCUGGUUCCAGGCAUCAAUUCAAUUUCGAACUCUAUCUCCCUAACAGGCGGUAAACUUGGCAGCUCGUCUGGGAACACAUCUAAAAACUCUCUAACCACUGGCACCGAGACGGGCUCUCUGACAUGACUAUCCAGCUCUCUCACAAGAGCUAGAAAACCCUGACAACCCCUCCUAAGGAGCCUACGAGCCUGAAGGGCUGAUAUCAAACCUCUAGGUGUACCCCUUCUGUCUCCUCUGAAGACAACCUCUGACCCAUCCUGACAUCUGAACCUUACUACCUUGCCUCUGCAAUCCAAGGUAGCACCAUGGGUAGAUAGCCAAUCCAUCUCUAGAAUGACGUCAAAAUCUGUCAAAUCUAGAACCACAAGGUCGGCGGACAGGCAUCUUCCCUCCACAAAAACUGGACUACACUGGCAGACUAACUCUGCCAUUGACGGGUCACACUUGGGUCCACUGACCCAUAGGGGACACGCUAACCCAGAGACCAUCAAUCCCAACCUCUCGACGGCCCUCGGAGCAAUGAAAGAAUGAGAUGCACUAGGGUCCAAUAAUGCAUACACAUCGGAACAACCAAUGAUGAGAUUACCUGACACCACGGUGUUGGAUGUGUUUGCCUCCUGCUGAGUCAUGGUGAAGAUUCGUGCCGGAGCUAAUGGACCCUCACCCCGGAAACCUGCUGAAGAAGAGGCUGCCCCUCUCCCUCUGCCUCUGCCACUAGCAUGAGUCGCGGCUGGAGCUACUGGCUGUGCCACACUACCUGAAGCUGUCUGCUGAGACUGUGCCAUAAAAGCUGCCCUAGGACACUCCCGAGCCAUGUGUCCCUCCUGCCCACAUCUGAAGCAGGUUGUCGUCCCAACCAGACAUACUCCUUUGUGCGGCUUCCCACACUUCUUGCAUACUGCAUUAUCUGCACCAGAGCUUGAGCCACUCCCUAAUCCCAGACCUGACUUGAUCUUGCUCCAGAACUUGUUCUUCUUAGGCUUGGCUUUACCCCAUCUCUUACUGCCUGAACUCAGAGAAGAAGGGUCUAACUUUCCCCCAUCUGGAGUCUUGGAACCAAAAGGUUGUGCCACUGACUGCUUGACUUUCCCCUCGAUUAUUGCACUAGCCUCCAUCCUCCGAGCCAUAUCCACUAUGGCAUGGAAACUCUCCCUCUCUGCUGACUGUAUCAAGGAGGAAUACCUGGAAUGGAGCUUCAUGAUAUACCUCCUUGACUUUUUCUGAUCUGUAUCCAGAUUCUGCCCAGUAAACGGCAACAGCUCCAAGAAUCUGUCUGCAUACUCAUCCACACUCAUCUCAUCCGUUUGCCUCAGCUGCUCGAACUCAAUCAUCUUCAAUUCUCUUGAACUGUCAGGGAAAGCCCAUCCUGCAAACUCAUUUGCAAACUCCUCCCAUGAUAGGCUGUCCAACCUCGGGUUCACAUAGUUCUUAAACCACUCUCGGGCCUUCUUGCAUUUUAGUGUGAACCCAGCCAUCUGAAUGGCUCUACUGUCAUCAGCUCCUAUCUCAUCUGUAAUUGUCUUGACCCUCUCGAGGUACACAAACGGGUCAUCACCGGUUUCAAACUGGGGAGCACCCAGCUUCAUGUAAUCGGUCAUCUUGACCUUGCUCCCCCCAGAUGAGCUAGGUUUAGGCAUUUGGGUUUCUGGGACAGUAGGUGCUGCUGGUGGUGGAGGAGGUGCAGCAUCCCCUGGGGUAGGGUUUGCUGUACCUGGAUGGUAGGAUGGGGGUGGAUACAUAGGGUACUGUGAGUACGGUGGGUAGAAAGGUGGGUAUGGCAUCUGAGAGUGAUAAAGGUUAAAACUGGGGUAAUCCGAUGUACCUCCCAUCGAAUACCCGGGAUUAUGUGAAAAGGGUGGGUAGUAAGGUGGCUGAACAAAUCCCGAGGCCUGAGUGCCUCCUUGGGACUCUCCCAUUCCCUCUUCCGACAUACUUACUCCGAGACUGCCAUCCCUCCUCUGAUCCACAUCCAUCUGAUCCCCCAAAUCCUCUGACAUAUCCCCUUGCACUGUUCCCCUCACUGAUCUGCUUCUACCCAGAUCCAAAGACCUUCUAGGGUCUCUUACUGCUCUUUCUCUGCUGGACCUACUUGACAUUGCUCUAGGCAAUGCAGGAGGACGAGCAUCAGUGCCCUUGUCCUGGGGUGGUACUCCAGUCAAUCGUGCAGAUCGACGAGUUCCUCUCAUCCUGUUUUCUGAAAAACAGUACACAUCACAUAGAACAUUAGCAUCAAAUGGUUCAUGUGCAAACACAUGAACCCGCAUCACAUACAUCACAUAUCAUAGCAUAACAUUAAUGCACAUGCAUAUAAUCAUGGCAUUACACAUCAUCAUUCAAGACAGGACUCUUUAUCCUAUCCUAGUGGACAUGAUCUUCCUAUUGUGCUUGACCUUCUAUGACACCUAUGAGCCCGACACACUAUAGGUCUGAUCAUAUGAACCUAGGGCUCUGAUACCACUUUGUAACGACCCGAAAACCGGACCGCUACCGGCGCUAGGAUCCAGAUCGGCAUAAGGUCGCCGGGACCCGUAGCAAGCCAAACAUACAUCCUGAAUACCUGUCAAAUCCCAUACAUGAUCACACAAUAUAUAAACAUGAGAACUUUUUCUUUUCUUUUACGAAGCUCAACCUGUGUAUGCACAUAAACAUAAACAUAAACUACACACUGGAGUAUCAUCACAUGCUCCAAUGGGGUAUCUCAUCAAACAUCAAGCUUGGUUGAACAUAAACAUCAUAAAACAUAGAUCAUGUACAUACAUGGGAUUAUCUAAACAUAUUAUGGUCAAGCACAAUUCUAAUCCUCAAUAUCAAUAUUACAUAACAUGACUGUUCAUAACCUUACAUCAUUUUACAAUUCAUCAUGUCCACAUCUAACUAUUACAAAUCACAUGACUUUACUCUUCUUGACUCCCUGAACUAGCCCGUACCUGCAAACCUGGGGGAUAUAGGGAAAGGGGUGAGCUACUAGAGCCCAGUGAGCAGAAUACUAAAACAUUUAAAAUAUAUGCCAUCAUGUAAUGCAUCAUAUCACAGACAUAUCACAUCAAGGGUGAACCUGUCACCAAAUAGUCCCAGCAUCAUAUCUGUGCCAGGCCGUAGAAUGGGGUCCUGGUCUUCCUGUCAUAUCAUAACAUUACUUACCAUUGCCCCAGCGCCUCAUCUGGGCACCUGGUCUUCACGUUCCAUAUCGUGCCUGGCCGUACAAUGGGGUCCUGGUCUUUCAUACCGUGUCAGGCCGUAGAAUGGGGUCCUGGUCUUUUCUGAGGGACUAAUUGGAUCAUACAGCAUUCACCCACAUCCACAAUAAAGAAUGCAGUGCAACAUAUUCGUGGAUUCUAAUGCAACAACCUAUUAUAUCACAUGGCAUUCGUGAUGCAUGAUUCAUGCCAAAACUUGCAUUUAUUUAAAACAUAAGGUUUAUUCUACUCACCUCAGGCUAACUCUGACAAUGAACUGAAGCAGCUGACUCACUGCUGGGGUCCUCGGUUCCUUGGGUCCGAACCUACACAGGUGGACUCAAAUAAGGGACCAAACACACUAGAACAAGACUCUAAAAAUAUCCCCCAAAAGCCCCCUAAAACACCUCAAAACAAUCAAAGAAUUCAUGCAAAGGAGGGCUGAACAGGGCACUUUCGGCGGCAGGUUCGGCGGCCAAAAGUCCCUCCAGAGCCGAAAGUCAUGCACCUUCGGCGGCACCUUCGGCGGCCAAAUGUUCUCUUCAGAGGCGAAACUCAUGCAUGUUCGGCGGCACCUUCGGCGGCCGAAAGUCCCCUCCAGAGAUGAAAGUCCACUUUCGGGGGCAGGCUUCGGUAGCCGAAAGCUUGCCUCUACAGGCAGGUUCGGCGGCCAAAAGUUCCUUCGGCUGCCGAACCUGAGUUUCUCCCAAAGUGGCAAAAACUCGGCUCUUAUGCACAUUUGCCUCCCAAAACCUUCAAUCAUGCAUACAACUCAACCAAAACAUGCAUAAACACAUACAUAAGCUCCUAGGGGUUUCCAACUAUCCUAAACCCCAACUACAACACAUCAAAAGCAACUCAGCAACCUACAUUGUCUAUAAACACAAUUCAAAACCAAACAAAGCUCAACUGACCUAAGCAUGCAUUUCUACCUCAUGAAUCAACUUGAAACUUGUUUAAAACAUAUAAUGAGCUCAAGAUCGGCUCUUACCUCUUGAAGAUCGAGAGGAAAAAUGAUCCUAGCUCGGAAAUGGGAGAGAUCGAGUUCCUUGAACCUUCAAGCUCCAAAACUUGCUAUUUGCUUAAAAAUCUUCAAAACAAAGGUGAAAACUCAUAAAAAAUCAUGGAAGAUUUGAAGGAAGAACUCAAGAUCGGCAUGAGGGCGGCGGAGACUCACCUUGGCCGAAAAUGGGG